Molecule: non-coding RNA, 1911 nt
Organism: Jatropha curcas
Lineage: Eukaryota; Viridiplantae; Streptophyta; Magnoliopsida; Malpighiales; Euphorbiaceae
Source: RefSeq, a predicted model, not a curated record
CAUAAAAAAUAAAUAAAAAGAAACACAAAAGAAAGAUCGUUUUUAGUUAAAAAGAUACCCCAUACAAAGCAGAGAAUGAGCAAGUGAGUGUGCGUACAAAAAGGCUUUUCCUUUGUUAUCUUCUCCAAAUGCAAGGAUGAAAAAGAAAAAGAUCACAACCCAACAAAAGAAAAAGAAAGAAACUUCUCUAUUUCUCUUUCAAUAUGGAUUGUGAUUUAUCUUCUGGUUCUCUCUCUCUCGAGUUCUCAGGUCCUCUUCUCAGGGUUCUUGCUUCAUGUUCCGGCAGAUGAUGUCAUCUUCCCGGCAAAUACGUCAGAUUCCUGCUCUCUGAAUUUUUGUUUGUUUCUUUUUUUCCUGAAAGGUUUUUGAAACUACAAAAAGGUAGAACAAUAUCAUCAUAUUCUGGUGCCCCGUUGAUUCAUUGAACUGUAAAAUUGGCUAUGGGGCAUCUAUCCUCCAUGUUCAACGGGUUAGCGAGGUCGCUUUUGAUAAGAAAAGGGAAGAACUAUGACAGUGGGGAUGGAAGAGAAGCUGCAGAAGAAAUGGCGAAAGAAGCAAAAAAGAAUGACUUGAUAUUGCGAUCUUCUGGUUUCAUAAAUUUGGAUGGUUCAAAGAAUUCUGCCUCAGGUUUCUCAAAGAGAGGCGAGAAGGGAACGAACCAGGAUUGCUUCAUUAUAUGGGAGGAAUUCGGAUGCCAAGAAGACAUGAUAUUUUGUGGGAUUUUUGAUGGACACGGUCCCUGGGGCCAUUAUGUGGCGAAGAAAGUUCGGGAAUGGAUGCCAUCAUCUCUGUUGUGUAAUUGGCAGGAGACCCUUGCUCAAACUUCGCUUGAUCCAGAUAUCGACUUGGAUUCAGAUAAAAAGCAUCAAAGGUUCAAUAUAUGGAAGCAUUCAUAUAUUAAGGCUUGUGCAGCUGUUGAUCAGGAGUUGGAGCAGCACCGGAAGAUUGAUUCAUUCCACAGUGGAGCAACUGCCUUGACAAUUGUCAGACAGGGAGAACUCCUUUUUGUAGCGAAUGUUGGCGACUCUCGUGCUGUAUUGGCUACCACCUCAAAUGAUGGAAACUUGGUUCCAGUUCAGCUUACUGUUGAUUUCAAGCCGAAUUUACCUCAGGAGGCUGAAAGAAUACAUCAAUGCAGGGGCCGGGUUUCCUGUUUGGACGAUGAGCCCGGGGUGCACAGAAUUUGGCUGCCAAACGAGGAAUCGCCUGGACUAGCAAUGUCUAGAGCCUUUGGAGAUUAUUGCAUAAAGGAUUUUGGACUUAUUUCUGUGCCGGAAGUGACCCAAAGGAAUAUAACCAGCGAAGAUCAAUUCGUUGUGUUGGCAACUGAUGGGGUGUGGGAUGUGAUCUCUAAUCAAGAGGCAGUGCAAAUUGUAUCUUCAACACCGGACAGGGCGAAGGCAGCUAAACGUCUGGUUGAAUCCGCGGUCCAUGCAUGGAAGCGAAAGAGGAAGGGAAUUGCCAUGGACGAUAUAUCAGCUAUUUGCCUUUUCUUCCACUCCUAUCCUACUCUAUCAGAGCAAGAUCACCUUGUUAGUACCCCAAAAUAGUGAUGAGAAAAUGUAAAUGAACAGGGAAGUUGAUCCCAACAUGAUUCUCAAUGUAGCCAUUAGAAAGGGUUCAUAUGAUUAAAGUCCCAACAUGAUUCUCAAUGUAGCCAUUAGAAAGGGUUCAUAUGAUUAAAGUCCCAACAUGAUUCUCAAUGUAGCCAUUAGAAAGGGUUCAUAUGAUUAAAGUCCCAACAUGAUUCUCAAUGUAGCCAUUAGAAAGGGUUCAUAUGAUUAAAGAAUGGUCCAAAUUUGGGCUCCGGAGAUGAUUAAAAAUUUAAGUAGAGGAUCAACACCUUGAAAUAAUAUUGGAAUCAUUAUAAAAUUUUGAGAUUAAGGGUUAAUUAAUCCUGAUGUCUUUUUA